Molecule: ribosomal RNA, 497 nt
Filed under: uncultured bacterium
Lineage: Bacteria
Description: partial 16S ribosomal RNA
Rfam family: Bacterial small subunit ribosomal RNA
Source: RNAcentral
GACGAACGCUGGCGGCGUGCCUAAUACAUGCCAGUUGAGCGCUGAAGGUUGGUACUUGUACCAACUGGAUGAGCAGCGAACGGGUGAGUAACGCGUGGGGAAUCUGCCUUUGAGCGGGGGACAACAUUUGGAAACGAAUGCUAAUACCGCAUAAAAACUUUAAACGCAAGUUUUAAGUUUGAAAGAUGCAAUUGCAUCACUCAAAGAUGAUCCCGCGUUGUAUUAGCUAGUUGGUGAGGUAAAGGCUCACCAAGGCGAUGAUACAUAGCCGACCUGAGAGGGUGAUCGGCCACAUUGGGACUGAGACACGGCCCAAACUCCUACGGGAGGCAGCAGUAGGGAAUCUUCGGCAAUGGACGAAAGUCUGACCGAGCAACGCCGCGUGAGUGAAGAAGGUUUUCGGAUCGUAAAACUCUGUUGGUAGAGAAGAACGUUGGUGAGAGUGGAAAGCUCAUCAAGUGACGGUAACUACCCAGAAAGGGACGGCUAACUACGUG